UUAUGCCAUAUGUUCAUGUUGUUUCCUAGUGAUCCGUGCCUCUUUUGAGGAUGAUCAGUAAGGAUGUUUUGUUAAUAUUGUGGUGCUCUAUCCAUCCAUGUCUUUUUUUACAAUUAUGGAGCAACCUAGCUUGAGUCAAUCGAGCUCUACUUUUGCUAUAAAAUGUUCCUGGCAGAUUGUUAACAUGUUUAGCGAUUUUGCCGAGGUUGUUGUUGUUGAUCCGUGCAUGCUAUGUUGUCGUUCUUGCCAUGUCUAGCUUCCAUGCCAUGUCUUCUUGAUGAGUGUAUGCUUAGAUUGUCAUGCAAUGCUCUGUAGUGAGUGCAUCGAGCUCGUAAACAUGCCUACUUGUCAAUCUGUUUUGCAUGCUCCAGUUUUUCACUAAGUCUGAAUCUAUUUAUGUUUUUGCUAUGUUCACAUCCUUGCAAUUGUAUUUUCUAAUCCCUUUUGGCUGAAGGUCAAUAAGGGACUUUUGUUAUAUGCUUUGAGUAGCUUUAUGCCAUGCCUUGCUUUGCCAUGAUAUGUUCCUGUAGCAUGUAGUUAUCAUGCUCUAAAGAUUGCUUCAUGAUGAUUAAUUCCUGAUAUGUUGUUAAUUCCACUAAGUCUGUAACCUGUUAUCAUUUGCACUUUUGCCAUGCUUGUUUGAGCUUGCUAAUGGAUGAAUUAUCCGUAGCUCAGUGUUCAUCUUUUGUCAAGCAUCAUGAGUGGAUCCCUACCAUAUAUUUUGUUGCUAUGUUUGAGUGUUGUAGCAUAUUUAUCUUGUUGCAUUUAGUUGGUCACUUGCUGAUUAUCGCAGACCGGUGCCAUAUUUGUUUUGCUUGCCAUUUCCAAACCGUGCAUCCGAUUCCGGUGAUCUUUAUAUUGAUUUCAACCGAAAUCAACCCCUCUUUCCAGUGGAACUUAUGGUUCUCCAAGUUGAGGCCAAGUUCAAUCAUUCCUUUCCAAAUCAUGCAUAGGCAUCACAUACCGCAUCCUGCAUAGCAUGCCUUGUUCACGUGUUGGUUGUUUACUAUGUUGUGUGCUUCUUUCCGGUGUUGCUUCUUCGGGUUGGUUCUGAUAACGUCGCAUUUGUGAGGACCCGUUCGACUGCGUCUGUUUGUCCUCUUCAUGGACUCGUUCUUCUUCCUUGCGGGAUUUCAGGCAAGAUGACCAUACCCUCAAAAUCACUUCUAUCUUUGCUUGCUAGUUGCUCGCUCUUUUGCUAUGCCUAUGCUACGAUACCUACCACUUGCUUAUCAUGCCUCCCAUAUUGUUAAGCCAAGCAUCUAACCCACCUUGUCCUAGCAAACCGUUGUUUGGCUAUGUUACCGCUUUGCUCAGCCCCUCUUAUAGCGUUGUUAGUUGCAGGUGAAGAUUGGAGUUUGUUCCUUGUUGGAACAUGGAUAUUUUGUUGGGAUAUCACAAUAUCUCUUAUUUAAUUAAUGCAUCUAUAUACUUGGCAAAGGGUGGAAGGCUCGGCCUUAUGCCUGGUGUUUUGUUCCACUCUUGCCGCCCUAGUUUCCGUCAUAUCGGUGUUAUGUUCCCGGAUUUUGCGUUCCUUACACGGUUAGGUUAUAAUGGGAACCCCUUGACAGUUCGCCUUGAAUAAAACUCCUCCAGCAAUGCCCAACAUUGGUUUUACCAUUCGCCACCUAGCCUCUUUUUCCCUUGGGUUCCGCGGACUCAAGGGUCAUCUUUAUUUAAACCCCCCCGGGCCAGUGCUCCUCUGAGUGUUGGUCCAAACUGAGCUGCCUGUGGGGCCACCUCGGGGAAACUUGAGGGUUGGUUUUACUCGUAGCUAGUCUCAUCUGAGUGUGCCCUGAGAACGAGAUAUGUGCAGCUCCUAUCGGGAUUUGUCGGCACAUUCGGGCGGUGUUGCUGGACUUGUUUUACCAUUGUCGAGGAUGUCUUGUAACCGAGAUGUCGAGUCUGAUCGGAUUGUCUUGGGAGAAGGAAUAUCCUUCGUUGGCCGUGAGAGCUUGUGAUGGGCUAAGUUGGGACUCCCCUGUAGGGAUUUGAACUUUUGAAAGCCGUGCCCGCGGUUAUGGGCAGAUGGGAAUUUGUUAAUGUCCGGUUGUAGAAGACUUAACUUAAUUAAAAUGCACCAACCGCGUGUGUAACCGUGAUGGUCUCUUCUCGGCGGUGUCCGGGAAGUGAACAUGGUGUUGGAGUAAUGUUUGACGUAGGUUGUUCUAGGAUCACUUCUUGAUCAUAGUUGUUCGAACCGUGCUUUUGCCUUCUCUUCUCGCUCUCUUUUGCGAAUAUGUUAGCCACCAUAUAUGCUAGUCACUUGUUGCAGCUCCACAUCAUACCUUUACCUUACCUAUAAGCUUAAAUAGUCUUGAUCGCGAGGGCUUGAGAUUGCUGAGUCCCCGUGACUCACAGAGUACUUCCAAAACCAGAUGCAGGGACCGAUGAUACCGUUCCAGAUGAUAUGACCGAGCUCAAGUGGGAGUUCGAUGAAGACUCUCGUCGUUACUACGUGUCUGUCCCAGAUGAUCAGUAGUGGUGCCCAGUCGGGGCGAUCGAGGCUAUGUUGCAUUUGGGGUUUUAUCUUCAUUUUGGUUUCGUAGUCGGACCUUGAGUGUAUUUGGAUGAAUGUAAUGUUAUAUAUGUAUUUAUGUGACGUGGUGAGUGUAAGCCAGCUAUGUAUCUUUUCCCCUUUAUUUAUUUACAUGGGUUGUUGUGAAGAUUACCUCACUUGCGACAUUGCUUUCAAUGCGGUUAUGCCUCUAAGUCGUGCUUCGACACGUGGGAGAUAUAGCCGCAUCGAGGGCAUUACAAGUUGGUAUCAGAGCCUUCCCCGACCUUCGGAGCCCCCUGCUUGAUCGAAUCGCUCGCGUUGUUGAGUCUAGGAAAAUGUUUUGAGUCAUUUAGGAAUUAUAUAUAUCGGAGAGUUAGGAAUUCUCUUUACUCUUCAGUCCCUUCAUCGCUCUGGUGAGGCAUCCUGACGUAGAGUUUUGACUCUUCUCUUCUCAAAUUUUACUAAAAAAAAUUUAGGAUCACGCGGGUAUCUUGGAAUCGUUCCGAUGGUUUUGUGACGAGAACAUUGUUCUUGGUGCCUCCUGACAUUUAGGGGUUGUGGCAGUGUCCCGGGGAGUUGAGCUCCGAGGUGUUGUUGUCACAAUUUUAUCGUUGAGAUUCUGGAAUACCUGAAUUUUUUGCGCCGACAUCGAAAAUCUCUUUUAUGCAGUUGUUGGUGAGAUAACCUCGACGCCACCCAGUAUUGGGGCGGGAGUUCGGGAGUAUUGCCAUAACUCGUAUAACGGAUGCUUUUCGAAGGUUGAGGUAAAUGAUUUCCGAAGGUUUCUUGGUUAUGUGUUGAAGGAUGGAUACAGCUGGAUGUAGGAUUUGCUAGUUUUGGGUGAGAUAUUAUGCUUCCCCUGUAUCCCCAACACCUGAUUGCAUAACUGGAAAGUUUCGGGAGUUUAUAAGUGGGAAUUCAAGUAGCUCUUAGGAUAUCUUCCCGACAGAUGUAUGAUAUGAAAUUGGGGUUCGACGUCUAGUGGUCCGCCUAUCCACGGUUGGUUUUACAGUGGUCUCGUUGUGUCUUAAAGAGUCCUUGGCUAUGCCGACUCGGGGACGCUUCGUAUGUCAUGUGCACUGCCUUGUACAUGAUGGUGAUGUACGAUCGAGCCCGUGUAGGCCCCACCACGAAAACUUCGGACAAAAUCUCUAUCAUAUGUUUGUUCCGGAUUAUUUUGCAAGCCAAUCCUUGGUUUUGUUUUGAGUGGUGGUAUUCGAGUUGCUUCAAUGUCAAGUGUUGAUCCAAUACCUUCCCUAAACAGUGUUCUCAUACUCCGAUGUGAAUACUAAUCCUUCUCGUCUAUUGAGAUUGUCAUGUCAAUCCUUUUCAACCGGCGUGUUUCUCUACAAGUGGAUCUGAUCAUUCCAACUUUCGCGAGAUCAACUCAAUGUCUUCUCAAUGUUAUUUGCUCAUCCCAAAUUGUCUUUGUUUUUCCCGCCCACCCACCAUUUUUCUUCAAGGACGAAGAUUUCUUUAUCAAGUAUCAUCUAUGGAUGUGAAGCCUCUCCAUUCUUUUCCGUCAAUGUCCUUACCCGAUGUUUCUCAAGAAGAUCCUAACAGAACCUCAAGUUCAUCAUUCUUCAUUCUUUUCCUUCUCCGGUGGAUUCAAUUCAAGCUUUUAGUGUUGAUCGUAUCCCUUUUUCCUCGUUUAAAAUACUUUCUCAUACCGGUGCACCUCAUAAUAAUCCUCUUGCUAUUCUUUUGUUCCAGAGUGCUCAAGAUACCCCGAAGAUUCAUGCUUACACCCUGCUUUCGCUCAAGCUCUUUCGAGGAUGUUAUCUCAUUCAAGCCAUUUAAAUUCAAACCGGUGGAAUCUUCUUUUCAAGCAAUCCUUCAACGGUGUUUCUUUUGAGUGGUCCCUAACCCACAGGUCUUUUCCCAGGAUCUUACCUGACUCUUCUUAUUUCCUGGAGCUAUCCUCAAAUUCUUAUCCAAGAUUGACGUAAGAAUGUUUUGUCAUCAGUCAUAUGUGUCUCUUCAAGAUCUUUCAAUUCUUUUCAUCGUUGGUUCAACCUUUCCAAUUUUCCAUUCCGGACUGCCUCAACAAUUCUUGGUGGUGUUUCUCGUCGUCAUUCUCUGCAUUUGAAGACCGAAGAAGAUUUCUCUCUCAAUCUUGCUCCAUUCUCUUCAAGAUUCGUGAUUCUAGUUUGUUGCCAUCCUCUCAUAAUUUGUUUUGAUUGUGAGAAUUCUUUUCACCUAUCCAGAGCAAUUCAAGAGUCUUCUCAGUUUGUUAUCUAGAGUCCAUCAGUUUAGAUUUAUUCAUUCUCAGCUUUCAGUUGUCAUUCUCCACUCUUACCGGCGCAUCGUUCAAGUGAUCUAUAAUCAGUUCCUGAUCCCUUCGUUCUCAUGUAUCUAGAUUGUCUCAAGUAUCUUCGCUCUUUUAUAAUUCUUCCCGGUGCUUCUUUAUCUUUUCUUCAAUCGUUUUAAAUUCUUAAGGUGGUUCGUUCAAGAGUUUUCUCUUCCUUCUUUAUCAUAUCAAUUUAUUCGUUGUUUCAACCCUUCCGGUGGUUCGUUCAAUACCUUCCCAAGUUGGCGCGAUAUCUAUCUUAAUCCUUUCUUCAAAAAUAAGUAGUAUGCCAAAUCCAUUGUUUGUCAUCAAUUUAAAUUGGUGUAGGAUACGCAUAACGUAAUUCUUAUUCUUGUUUCAUCAAGCGAAUUCAAUUCCUUAUUCCGGAGGUUCAUCAAAAUUCUUGAUUUCUUUUGUUCAUCUUUCUUUUCUGGAGUCCCAAGUUUUUUCUGCUUUAUCUCAUCGCGAAGAUCCAUCUAAUCAUUGCAAGUCUUCACCUCGUGUUUUCAACUUCUCUUUCCUUUUGUUUGAUCAUCCUUUUGUUACCGGAGUUCUUCAUGAAGGUUCUACAUGAUGGUUCAUCAAGGAUUUAAUUCCUUUUUCGAAGUGUUCAUCGAGAUUCUUUUCAAAGGAGCUCAAGCAUUCUUCUUAUUGCAAUCCAGAGUGCAAUUCUUUCUUUCGUAUCAUUGGAGGUGGUAUUAUGUCAUUUAAUUUGAGUUCAUGUUUCAUGGUUCACAUGUUGUCAAGAAUGAGGUAUCUUAAAUCCAUCAAUCUCCUCAUUGAAGUUAUCUUGGGUUAUAUUUCACCUAAAGCUACCCCUAAGGAUUGUUGCUAUUUAUGGUGCUUAUAUAUGAUCCAAGUUCUUCAUCUAUCCUCCCGGUGAAAUAAGUUUCUCGUCUCCUUGUUUAUGUCAAUUCAAUCUGUUGUUUCCGCUAGUGGCAGAAUUUCACCUCAGUUUUGAGAUGUUCCCCAUAAGCCCACUUAAAGCUUAUCCUUUCGUUGUUGUUGUUAAUUCUACGACUCCGUUCUAGCAUUUGUUGUGAGCGUGCUCUGUCAAGACCUUGUUUUUACCUCCAUUCAUGCCAUUCCAUUCUUUCUUUUCUUCCGGAGGCAUUGUGAUGUUGCUCUUUUCAACCCAUCCUCUCGUUUUGUCAUCACGUUCAAUUCCUUCCAUUUCCAACCGGAGUGUUGCCGUAAUUGAUCUUUAUCAUUCCUUGUACAUCUUGUUUCAACUGGAGUGCUUGCAUGUACUUCUUGUCCAUUGAAACCCUUUUCUUAUGUCCGUCAACGUACAAGUUUCCCAUAAUGAUCCUUGUUCCUCUUUUCUAACGGAGGUUUUCAACUUUGUUCAUCUCUGUUCAAUUCUUUUCUCGAAAUGGCUAAACCUUUUUCAAGGUUCUUUGGUCUCAGUCAUUUGUCAAAGGAGCAACUUAGUUUUACCUCUUCUCUUUCUCUUCCAUUUUCCCUCCGGUGGCAUUCUAGAUCUCGGGACGAGAUCCUCUCGUAGUGGUGGAGUGUUGUAAUGCCUCGAGACCGAUGUGACAGGUGUCCUCCAGUUAUUCGAUGUUGUAACCUUGUCAUUGCUUGCGUGUCAUGCAUUCCAUAUCAUGUCAUCAUGUGCAUUUCAUUUGCAUACAUGUUCGUCUCAUGCAUCCGAGCAUUUUCCCCGUUGUCUGUUUUGCAAUCCGGCGCUCCUAUGUCAUCCGGUGCCCCUUUCUACCUCUUUUCAUGUGCGGGUGUUAAACAUUUUCGGAUUGGACUGAGACUUGUCAUGCGGCCUUGGUUUACUAACGGUAGACCGCCUGUCAAAUUUCAUGCCAUUUGGACUUCGUUUGAUACUCCAACGGUUAACCGAGGGACCGAAAAGGCCUCGUGUGUGUUGCAGCCCAACACCCUUCCUAACUGGCCCAAUACCCACCUAAACCCCUUGUAUCUUCUAGAGCGUUUGAUCACGAUCGCGUGGCCGCAAACCGCACCUCAUUUGGAGCUUCCUAGCUCCCUCUACCUCUAUAAAUAGAUCCCCUCCCCAAAAUCACGGGUCUUCUUCCCCCAAAACCCUAAAAAUUCAUCCUCCGCGCCGCCGGACGUGUCUGUUUCGGCCGGACACGCCCGCGCCGGCGACCGCAGCCAGUCUCCAGCCGCCACGUGGCCCACUCGGCGCUCGCCGCCGCCGAGGCCCGGGAGGCCCGCAACCGGCCCCCGAGCCCACUUCGCCCUGCCCGUGCGCAGCGCCCGCCGCCGCCUCCUCCUUCGUCGGUCGAGCCCAUCGCCGGCGAGCUCGCCCGAGGCCGCCACACCACCGCCAAGCGCCUCGCCCCACCUGCCGCUCCAUCCUCAUCGUCCGCGCCUCCGCCGCAUCGUCCCCUCGCCGCGCCAAGUUCCAGCUCCGGCGAGCCCCCUCGCGCCGGCGAGCUUCCUCGAGUCCGGCCACCGCAUCCCCAUCGCCGGCAAGCUCGAGGACGAACCUCGGGAUCCGCGCCCGCCAGAUCCAGAUCUGAAAUCGGUUGACUUUUUCGACCCUAACCCUAAUUUUUAUGCAAUCUUUGACAUGCCAUAACUCUGCAUCUGUAGCUCCGAUUCGUGCGUGUAGCAUAUCGAAAUGUUCGUCUCGAUGGGUACAUCAUUUCAUCUCAUUGCAUCAUUUUCAUUUGAGCUCAUAUUGAUGCCCGAAAUGCUGUUGGAAUAGGGCUAUGUGAGGAAUAUUUCAGAUCUGUUUCAGCAAAUGCCCUUUUGUCAUUUUUGCCAUGAUUAAUGUGUGCAUGCUAUGAUCAUGAGCUCUACAUGUGCUUUGUAGAAUGCCAUGCCAUCUUUACAGGUGUGUAUGCCAUGUAUUUUUGUGAUCUUAGUGGUGACUAGCACAAGCAUGCAAAGCAGUUUACUCAAUGAUGCUGAUUUCAGGGACUUAGAAUUUCACUAAGUCCUUGUCCUGUUAUUGUCUUUAUGUCAUAUGUUCAUGUUGUUUCCUAGUGAUCCGUGUCUCUUUUGAGGAUGAUCAGUAAGGAUGUUUUGUUAAUAUUGUGGUGCUAUAUACAUCCAUGUCUUUGUUUGCAAUUAUGGAGUACGCUAGCUUGAGUCAAUCGAUCUCUACUUUUGCUAUAAAAUGUUCCUGGCAGAUUGUUAACAUGUUUAGCGAUUUUGCCGAGGUUGUUGUUGUUGAUCCGUGCAUGCUAUGU
Molecule: long non-coding RNA, 7963 nt
Filed under: Triticum aestivum (bread wheat)
Lineage: Eukaryota; Viridiplantae; Streptophyta; Magnoliopsida; Poales; Poaceae
Description: long non-coding RNA (TAES_LNC025806)
Source: RNAcentral